UGGGGAAUAUUGGACAAUGGGCGCAAGCCUGAUCCAGCCAUGCCGCGUGAGUGACGAAGGUCUUCGGAUUGUAAAGCUCUUUUUGGCGGGGACGAUAAUGACGGUACCCGCAGAAUAAGCCCCGGCUAACUUCGUGCCAGCAGCCGCGGUAAUACGAAGGGGGCUAGCGUUGUUCGGAAUCACUGGGCGUAAAGCGCACGUAGGCGGAUUUGUUAGUCAGGGGUGAAAUCCCGGGGCUCAACCUCGGAACUGCCUCUGAUACUGCAAAUCUCGAGUCCGAUAGAGGUGAGUGGAAUUCCUAGUGUAGAGGUGAAAUUCGUAGAUAUUAGGAAGAACACCAGUGGCGAAGGCGGCUCACUGGAUCGGUACUGACGCUGAGGUGCGAAAGCGUGGGGAGCAAACAGGAUUAGAUACCCAGGUAGUCCCUGAGCGGGCUGGCAAGGCGCAU
Molecule: ribosomal RNA, 448 nt
Filed under: uncultured bacterium
Lineage: Bacteria
Description: bacterial SSU rRNA
Rfam family: Bacterial small subunit ribosomal RNA
Source: RNAcentral